RNAcentral lists this ribosomal RNA (3153 nucleotides) under Triticum aestivum (bread wheat). Its description in RNAcentral is "partial small subunit ribosomal RNA". The record is from RNAcentral. Lineage: Eukaryota; Viridiplantae; Streptophyta; Magnoliopsida; Poales; Poaceae.
AUGCCGGACCCGUGGUGGCUGGCCACCACCACCACGGCCUGCUCCCCGCCGCCCUCCGCUUCCGGCGCCGACCUCCUCGCCUUCCUCCUCCUCACCCCCUGCCCGCAGCGCGCGCUCCUCGCCGCCCUCGACCUCCUCUUCCUCCUCGCCGCCCUCGCCCUCUCCCUCCGCGCCCGCCUCCAUCUCCACCACCGCCGCGCGCGCCAGGAUCAGCAUCAGCACGAGGUGGAGCCCCUGCUCGCGAAGCCGGCACCGGCCCGGUCCCACGGGAGGGGGUUCCGCCACAGGCUCGCGCUGGGGGCCUCCUCGGCGCUCGCCGCCGCGUCGCUCGUGCUGCUCGCGCUCGCCUUCCUGCUGCUCCCCGCGAAGGGGUACAGCAGCGACUGGACCGCGCUCCAGCGCGCCUUCCUCGCGGCGCAGCUCCUCGCGCACCUCGCCGCCGCGGGGACAGUCGCGGCGGAGAAGCCCGGGGCCGCGCGCGCCCACCCGACGCACCUGCGCCUCUUCUGGCUCGCCACCGCGCUGCUCGCCGCGCUCUUCUCCGGCUCCGCGGCCGCGCGCUUCGUCGCAGGUCAGACCGUCCUCCCCGACGACCCCAUCGCGUUCGCCGGGCUCGUGCUCUCGCUCCCUCUGCUCUACUUCGCGGUCGACGGCUCCAGCGGCCUCGGUGAAUCAGCGGCGGCCACUAGCGAGGAGGAACCAAGCGGUGCCUCUGAGGCGGCGACUUCCUACGCCACGGCGUCGUGGCUCUCGCUGGCGACCUUCAGCUGGAUCACCCCGCUCAUCACCAAGGGCUACAGAGCGACUCUCGGCGCCGAAGACGUCCCGCCGGUGGCGCCCUCCGAUACCGCCGAGGCCGCGUACGCUCUGUUCGUCUCCAACUGGCCGGCGCCCCCCGCGCCAGGGUCCAAGGCCGGGCACCCGGUGAUCACCGCGCUGCUGCGGUCCUUCUGGCCGCAGUUCCUGCUCACCGCCGCGCUGGGCGUGGCGCACCUCUCGGUCAUGUACAUCGGCCCGUCGCUCGUGGACAGGUUCGUCCAGUUCGUUCGCCGCGGCGGAGACGUGACGGAGGGGCUGCAGCUGGUCGGCAUCCUCCUCGCCGGCAAGGCCGCCGAGACUCUCGCGUCGCACCACUACGAGUUCCAGGGGCAGAAGCUGGGGAUGCGCAUCCAUGCUGCUCUGCUCGCCGUGGUGUACCGCAAGUCGCUGCGGCUGUCCACGGGCGCGCGGCGCGCGCACGGCGCCGGCACGAUCGUGAACUACAUGGAGGUGGAUGCCGAGGAGGUGUCCAAUGUCACGCACGAGCUCCACAACCUGUGGCUGAUGCCGCUGCAGAUCGCCGUCGCCCUCGCCCUGCUCUACACCCACCUCGGCCCAUCUGUGCUCACCGCGGUCGCCGCGAUCGCUGUGGUGACCGUGGUCGUGGCCCUCGCCAACCGGCGUAACAUGGAGUACCAGUUCAAGUUCCUCAGCAAGCGCGAUGAGCGCAUGAAGGCCAUCACCGAGUUGCUCAACUACAUGCGCGUGAUCAAGCUGCAGGCAUGGGAGGAGACGUUUGGUUCCAAGAUUAGUGAGCUCAGGGAGGCUGAGCUUGGGUGACUUGCCAAGUCCAUGUACUUCAUGUGUGCCAACACCAUCGUGCUCUGGAGCGGCCCGCUUGCCAUGACCGUGCUCGUGUUCGGCACCUGCGUGCUGACAGGUGUCAAGCUCGACGCUGGCAAGGUGUUCACAGCCACCGCGUUCUUUCGGAUGCUCGAUGGACCUAUGCAGAGCUUCCCGGAGGCGAUCGCCGCUGUGACGCAGGCGACCGUGUCGCUUGGAAGGCUUGACAGGUAUCUGCUUGAUGCAGAGCUCGCUGACACUACAGUGGAGCAUGUCCUUGAUGCUGAUACUGGCCCGGACCGAGUGGUCGUGGAGGUGCACGAUGGCAUGUUCGCGUGGGACGUGAGGGGCAAGAAGGAGAAUGAAAAGGAAGAAGAGGAAAAUGAUGACAGUGAAGGUGAGGAGGAUGAGAGAAUUGUGGAGGAGGCACCAGUGCUAGAGACAGUGCUGAAGGGGAUUAGUAUGACGGUGAGGAAAGGCGAGCUUGCGGCGGUGGUUGGAAUGGUCGGGUCCGGCAAGUCGUCACUGCUCUCCUGCAUUAUGGGGGAGAUGGACAAGGUCUCAGGCAAAGUAAGGGUAUGUGGUAGCACUGCAUAUGUUGCACAGACAGCUUGGAUCCAAAAUGGGACCAUUCAAGAGAAUAUCUUAUUCGGUCAGCCAAUGGAUGCUGAAAGAUACAAGGAGGUUACACGAUCUUGCUGUCUGCAAAAGGAUUUGGAAAUGAUGGAAUUUGGUGACCGGACUGAAAUAGGAGAGAGAGGGAUCAAUCUCAGUGGUGGGCAGAAACAGCGCAUUCAGCUUGCCAGAGCAGUUUAUCAGAAUUGCGAUGUAUAUCUCCUUGAUGAUGUCUUCAGUGCUGUUGAUGCUCACACUGGUUCCUAUAUCUUUAAGGAAUGUCUAAGGGGGCUGCUCAAGGGAAAGACCAUCUUGCUUGUUACUCACCAAGUGGAUUUCUUGCAUAAUGUGGACAACAUAUUUGUCAUGAAAGAUGGUAUGAUUGCACAGUCAGGAAAGUUUGACGAGUUACUAGAGGCAGGCUCAGGCUUUUCAGCUCUUGUUGCUGCUCAUGAUAGUUCAAUGGAACUGGUGGAACAGAGUCGACAAGUAGAGAAGACUGAACAUUCUCAGCCUGCAGUAGUCAGAAUCCCAUCUCUUCGCUCUAGAUCCAUUGGAAAGGGUGAGAAGGUGAUCGUUGCACCAGAAAUAGAAGCAGCUACUUCUAAGAUUAUACAAGAAGAGGAAAGAGAGAGUGGCCAAGUAAGUUGGCGUGUGUACAAGCUAUACAUGACAGAGGCUUGGGGUUGGUGGGGAGUUGUGGGCAUAUUUGGAUUAUCAUUGGUGUGGCAAGCUUCUGAUAUGGCUAGUGACUAUUGGCUGUCAUAUGAAACAUCAGGCGGCAUCCCAUUUAAUCCUUCACUGUUUAUCGGAGUGUAUGUUGCCAUAGCUGGUGUUUCAAUGGUACUCCAAGUAAUCAAGACUUUUCUUGAGACGGUUAUGGGACUUCAAACAGCUCAGAUCUUUUUCAGGAAGAUGUUUGACAGCAUUUUGCAU